Molecule: long non-coding RNA, 5050 nt
Organism: Dreissena polymorpha
Lineage: Eukaryota; Metazoa; Mollusca; Bivalvia; Myida; Dreissenidae
Exons: 2
Source: RefSeq, a predicted model, not a curated record
GGGGCAACGCACGUUGUGGUUCAAUAUAUUUGUUAAAAGUUUGAUAUUGUGUUGGAAAAAUGUCGUAAAAUCAAGAAGUUUUGUCGGGGAAUUUCAGCAAUUCAUCGGCUGUGGAGCAGUCGUUGCUCAGCAGGGAAGUAGAAUGUUCAUUUCAGUGUAGAAAAUAAAUUAACAGUAUCAAAAAGUUUAGGGAUUUUAUAAUUUGUUUUGUUUUUCAUGUUUGGCUAACGUGAUUUACAUACUUAAGUUUCUUCUUUGUUUAUUCGAUAAAAGCGGACCGCCUUCUACAUUAGGUGUUUGUUGUACUAAUUGUUGUCACUUGUUUGCUAGUAAGCAAAGAAUUAAUUUAUUUUCGGACGAACGAAGUGAGGGAGAAAAUAAUUGCUAUUCUUUUCGUCACAGUUCAAUAAACAUGCGUGUUUACUAAUGCACGGGAUUUUCGUGAGUUUUUGGCAGGUAUAGCGUCAUUCGAGGUCCGCUUACAGGAGACAACGCUCGUUGUGGUUCAAUAUAUUUGUUACAUUAAUUAUUAUACUCAUUUUUAGUUUUACAAUAUUAGAAUUAUUUCAGCGAAGAGGCUGCGUCAAGACGUUAUCAAGAAGGUUUUCUCCAAAAACAGCGACUUCCGGUUGUCCUCGGACCGUGCUACGCUUGCCGCCUCACAAGAAACGUGGUUAGAGACUGCCCAAACGUCCAACGAGGCUUCGUCCAACAACAGCCCAUUUUUAGCAGGUCCAGUUACCUAAGAACUGCAGCACAGACCGCCACUUCAGAUGUCAGAGAAAGCACUAAGUUAUAGAGAUGAGUAUAAUGAUUUUGUAUGUUUGUCCUGUCAUGAAUAUUCAAGUCAUUCUUCUUCUGAAAAACCAGUAAAAGACGGUAUUAGAUAUGCUUUGACUUACAUAAAGUUUGUAUUGUUCUCUCAAAGAAUGAGUAUUAUGUGAAUAAAUGUUUAGAUGUGAUAAGUAUUCAGAAAAGGUCCACAGUGAUCUAUAUUCAGAUUUUCAAAUAUGAUACGCUGUUAUCUCAAAGUGUGACAGGACACUUGGUUAGAGACUGCCCAUACGUCCAACGAGGCUUCGUCCCACAACAGCCCACUUCUAGCAGGUCCAGUUACCCAAGAACUGCAGCACAGACCGCCACUUUAGACGUCAGAGAAAGCACUAAGCUAUAGAGAUGAGUAUAAUAAUUUGUAUGUUUGCGCUGUUAUGAAUAGUCAAGUCAUUUUUCUUCUGAAAAAAAAACAACAGUAAAAGACGGUAUAAGAUAUGCUGUGAUUUGCAUUAACCUUGUAUUGUUGUCUCGAAAAAUGGGAUUUAUGUGUAUCAAUGUUUGGAUGUGAUGUGUAUUUAGAAAAGAUCCACCGUGAUCUGUAUUCAGAUGUUCAGAUAUGAUACGCUGUUAUCUCAAAGUGUGAGAUUUAUGUGUAUCAUUGUUUGGAUGUGAAGCGUUUUCAGAAAAGAUCUACGGUGAUCUGUAUUUAAAUAUUCAGAUACGACACGCUGUUGUCUGAAAGUGUGAGAUUUAUGUGUAUCAUUAUAUAUAUGUGAAGUUGUGAAGUGUUUUCAGAAAAGAUCCACGGUGAUCUGUAUUCAGAUGUUCAAAUAUGAUACGCAGUUGUCUCAGAGUGUGAGAUUUGUUUGUAUCAAUGUAUAGAUGUGAUUUGUAUUUAUUAAGGAUUCCCAUUGAUUUGUUUGUGCAAAUAAGUUUUUAAUGAGCAUGUCUUGAUGUGAACCCAUUUAUACAUUAACAUGUAACGGAGUCAAUAUAUAGUUAUUUAAAACAAAACAAACAACUCAUAAGAAUAUAAUGAAUUUGAAGAUAUAACGAUUAGUUUUGUUUGUUUAAUCAGACAAUACUAUGAUAUGUUCUCGCUUCAUAUUUAUGUAUUAUGAAACGAUGAUUUUAUGAAAGGCGUUAUAUAUUGUAAUUAUUAUACUCAUUUUUAGUUUUAUAAUAUUAGUAUUAUUUCAGCAGAGAGGCUUUGUUAAGACGUUAUCAAUAAGGUUUUCUCCAACAACAGCGACUUUCGGUCGUCCUCGGACCGUGCUUCGCUUGCCGCUUAACAGGACACUUGGUUAGAGACUGCCCAUACGUCCAACGAGGCUUCGUCCCACAACAGCCCACUUCUAGCAGGUCCAGUUACCCAAGAACUGCAGCACAGACCGCCACUUUAGACGUCAGAGAAAGCACUAAGCUAUAGAGAUGAGUAUAAUGAAACGAUCCACGGUUAUCUGUUGUCGGAGAAAAGAUCCACGGUGAUCUAUAGACUAUAUUCAGAUGUUCAAGUCUGAUGCGCUGUUGUCUCAGAGUAUGAGAUUUAUGUGUAUCAAUGUAUUUAAUGUUAUGUGUAUUCAAGAAAGAUCCCCGGUGAUCUGUUGUCGGAGAAAAGAUCCACGGUGAUCUGUUGUCAGAGAAAAGAUCCACGGUGAUCUGUUAUCGGAUGUUCAAAUAUGAUACGCUGUUGUCUCAAAGUGCGAGAUUUAUGUGUAUCAAUGUAUAGAUGUGAUGUGUAUUCAGAAAAGAUCCACGGUGAUCUGUUGUCAGAGAAAAGAUCCACGGUGAUCUGUUGUCAGAGAAAAGAUCCACGGUGAUCUGUUGUCAGAGAAAAGAUCCACGGUGAUCUGUUAUCGGAUGUUCAAAUAUGUUACACUGUUGUCUCAGAGUAUGAGAUUUAUGCGUAUCAAUGUAUAGAUGUGAUGUCUAUUUAGAAAAGAUCCACGAUGAUCUGUAUUCUAAUGUUCAAAUAUGAUACGCUGUUGUCUCUGAGUGUGAGAUUUAUGUGUAUCAAUUUAUAGAUGUUAUGUGUAUUCAGACAAGAUCCACGGUGAUCUGUAUUCAGAUGUUCAGAUAUGAUACGCUGUUGUCUCAAAGUAUGAGAUUUAUGUGUAUCUAUGUAUAGAUGUUAUGUGUAUUCAGAAAAGAUCCACGGUGAUCUGUUGUCGGAGGAAAGAUCCACGGUGAUCUGUUGUCAGAGAAGAGAUCCACGGUUAUCUUUUGUCGGAUGUUCAAAUAUGAUACGCUGUUGUCUCGGAGUAUGAUAUUUAUGUGUAUCAAUGUAUAGAUGUGAUGUGUAUUCAGACAAGAUCCACGGUGAUCUGUAUUCAGAUGUUCAGAUAUGAUACGCUGUUGUCUCAAAGUAUGAGAUUUAUGUGUAUCAAUUUAUAGAUGUUAUGUGUAUUCAGACAAGAUCCACGGUGAUCUGUAUUCAGAUGUUCAGAUAUGAUACGCUGUUGUCUCAAAGUAUGAGAUUUAUGUGUAUCUAUGUAUAGAUGUUAUGUGUAUUCAGAAAAGAUCCACGGUGAUCUGUAUCCAGAUAUUCAGAUCUGAUACGCUUUUGUCUUAGAGCGUGAGAUUUAUGUGUAUCUAUGUAUAGAUGUGAUUUGUAUUUAUUAAGGAUUCACAUUGAUUUGUUUUAAGAUAUGCAAAUAUGUUUUUAAUGAGUAAGACUUGAUGUGAGCCCAUUUAUACAUUUACAUGUAUCGGAGUAAUUAUAUGGUUAUUUAAAACAAAGCAUAAAACUCAUUACAAUAAAAUGAAUUUGAGGAUAUUACGAUUUGUUUUGUUUGUGUAAGCAGUCAAUAAUAUGAUAUGUUCUCGUUUCAUAUGUAUGUAUUAUGAUACGAAGAUUUGAUGAAAGGCGUUAUAUAUACACGUACACAUGUAUAUUGUUUAAGCAUAUAUUGGCAUAGCAGUGUAUGGGACGAUAUUGGUGAAUUGAGUGCACAUCAUAGCUUGGGACACGCGGCUCAGAAGGACAUAGCCAGAGCAGCAAAAUCCAAGAAUACAAACAAAAAGUAUGAACUAUAUCUUUGACAAAUUUCAAAAAUGGUGCAGCGGGUAUGGUUUUAUUUCGUUGCCGGCAAAAAAAGCAUGUGUAUGUGUUUUUCUUAAGUGAAUGAGUGGACAAACAAUUUUCGAGUGCGGUUGUAGACGCGUAUUUCUACAACAUAAGUUGGAAGCAUGAUUUCUUUUUAGAGCAAAAUCCUUGUAAGAACAAGCUUGUAAUAUUAACAUUUGAAGGAUGCAAGCGAAUUUUGGCCAAGCCAGUCACAAAGAAAGAACCAUUAACUGUGGAUAUGUUAAAUAAUAUCAUUGAUUUCACUGUAAGGACGGUCAGAAAUUAAGUGUGAAAAAUAUGAGAUUAUGUUUGAUGUGUAUUCUUGGGUAUUCGUUUUUUUUUCAGAUUUGAUGAGUUGUCUAGUUUAAAAAUGAAACUUCUUUUUAGGAUUCUCAUAUUUCUAUAUUUUUUAUAGAACAUAGCAACUGGGAUCAGUUAAAAUCUGGUAAUAGUGUUAUUGUGCCAAAAACAGUUAAUAGGCUAUGUCCGGUAUGUUGGUUAAAGAUAUAUCGCUGCGGGUCUCACAUUAUUUCGAACUAAUAUUUUUUUUACAAAAGUUAGAUUUUUUUUAAAUAAAGGAAAUUAUGUUUUGUGCGACACAGAUUCUACUUUAUCACAUACCAGGGCAAGGGAGAUAUUUUAGAAUCAAUUCAUAGCAUAGGGGAGCUUCCGCUGCUGCUAAAAGCGGAAAAAUCACAGAUGAUAAAUUGUUAGCCAAGCACGGUCGUUGGAAAUCGGAAGCUUGGUUGAUGGAUGGUUUCAUUUCAGUAUAGAAAAUAAAUUGUUUAAAUGUACAUUUUUCAUAUAGAAUGUUGCUGUUGUAUUGGUGUGUUAAUGACAUUGUAUUGUUUCUUGUCUACUAGUAUGGAUGAGGCCGAACGCUCGGCAACAUGACAUUUUGACAAACGGGCACAGGUUUCCAGAGCCUUUUCCUUAGACAUUAGAAAAGGGUUUUUAUCUCUGGUUUUUCCUGGGCGAGUCAUGUUGCAUUUUAUACACAUCCUAGUUUAAUAAAUAAUGUGUACUAGUAUUUUGGAGUUUUUGUAGAGUUUAUGCUUUGUUUGUGUGAAAAUAAUAUGUUUUACAAUCUUAAAAUGAUAUUUUGUUCCUGGGUUUUGAAUAGGCAAUAACUAUGAUCUGUUAAUGUACUUGUCUACUUACAUUAAUCCUGUUGGUAAAACGGCUACAAUAAAAGCGGACCGCCUUCUA